CCGUCGAUAACAAUACUGUUCCAGUGCGAGCGAGAGGAAAGUUAUAUGCGCAAUUUCCGUGUACCGCGAUCGGAAUCGGCUUCUCCUGCAUAGGAGUGAGCGGUACAACAAUAAGUUGCUUGGUUUUGCUUGCAACCGAUAGCGCUUGAGCCGGUUGAUUCGUAAAAUGUAAUAAACUAUGAUGUUGUUUAUGACACGCUCUACCAUAGAGUAAGUAUUGUAACUGGAGUGCUUACUUUGUUUAACAUAAAAACUAAAAAUAUACUUUAUAUCUGUGAUUUAAAGCUUAUUUUUAAAUAUCAAAAGAUCUAAGGAAAAACGGUCUGAAAAGAGAAUGAUUAUAAAGUGGUGGUGUCCCUCUCGCACAUAUUACAAACAAAAAGCAGUACUGCUAGCUUAGUGGAUUUUCCACAAAAUCUUGUAUAUUGGACCCCUGUCUUAGUUAUCAAAAAUGGCUUUUAGUGGUUAGUGGAUUUUCUAGUAGGUUGGGAGUUGUUGAAAAUUAUCGAAAAGAUUAAAAUCAAUCCAAUUUUGAUUCCGAUACAUAAUUGUUAUUUGUUUAGUUUUACAGGAUUUCCAACUUUUUAUGACAAUAAUAUAUUAUUAUCUAAAUACAUAUUAUUUUAACGGCUAUCUUAUGAAUACGAUGUGACUUAGGCUUAACCAGAAAAUGCUGCGACAAUUUAGAAUUUCCAUCAACGUCAAAAAUGAAAUAGGUUCAAAAGAAACAUACAUAAGUAAAAUAAAUGUGUGCGUGUACUAGUGUACACACGUAAGAAGUGAAACUUGUUUAUGGCCUUAUUUUUCGAAAAAUGAUCUACAUGCAACUUUCUAGAAAUUGGUUAAAUAAAGUUAAAUUAGAUAAAGUUUAAACAAAAGGAUUUUAUUAUCAUAGACAUGAAUACAAAAAAGUUAAAUUAGAUAAAGUUUAAACAAAAGGAUUUUAUUGAAGUGAAACUUCCUUAUCGGCGUUGGAAAAAAAUUUACCGUCACAUUUUUCGGUUACGCGUCACUUUUUUCCGUUACGCGCCAUCUGUUUUGUAUUCAUGUCUAUGAUAAUAAAAUCCUUUUGUUUAAACUUUAUCUAAUUUAACUUUUUUUUGUAUUCAUGUCUAUGAUAAUAAAAUCCUUUUGUUUAAACUUUAUCUAAUUUAACUUUAUUUAACCAAUUUCUAGAAAGUUGCAUGUAGAUCAUUUUUCGAAAAAUAAGGCCAUAAACAAGUUUCACUUCUUACGUGUGUACACUAGUACACGCACACAUUUUUUAUCAUAGACAUGAAUACAAAACAGAUGGCGCGUAACGGAAAAAAGUGACGCGUAACCGAAAAAUGUGACGGUAAAUUUUUUUCCAACGCCGAUAAGGAAGUUUCACUUCAAAAAAAAUGUGUGCGUGUACUAGUGUACACACGUAAGAAGUGAAACUUGUUUAUGGCCUUAUUUUUCGAAAAAUGAUCUACAUGCAACUUUCUAGAAAUUGGUUAAAUAAAGUUAAAUUAGAUAAAGUUUAAACAAAAGGAUUUUAUUAUCAUAGACAUGAAUACAAAAAUGUGUGCGUGUACUAGUGUACACACGUAAGAAGUGAAACUUAUUUAUGGCCUUAUUUUUCGAAAAAUGAUCUACAUGCAACUUUCUAGAAAUUGGUUAAAUAAAGUUAAAUUAGAUAAAGUUUAAACAAAAGGAUUUUAUUAUCAUAGACAUGAAUACAAAAAAGUUAAAUUAGAUAAAGUUUAAACAAAAGGAUUUUAUUAUCAUAGACAUGAAUACAAAACAGAUGGCGCGUAACGGAAAAAUGUGACGCGUAACCGAAAAAUGUGACGGUAAAUUUUUUUCCAACGCCGAUAAGGAAGUUUCACUUCAAAAAAAUGGCGCGUAACGGAAAAAUGUGACGCGUAACCGAAAAAUGUGACGGUAAAUUUUUUUCCAACGCCGAUAAGGAAGUUUCACUUCAAAAAAAAUGUGUGCGUGUACUAGUGUACACACGUAAGAAGUGAAACUUGUUUAUGGCCUUAUUUUUCGAAAAAUGAUCUACAUGCAACUUUCUAGAAAUUGGUUAAAUAAAGUUAAAUUAGAUAAAGUUUAAACAAAAGGAUUUUAUUAUCAUAGACAUGAAUACAAAAAAGUUAAAUUAGAUAAAGUUUAAACAAAAGGAUUUUAUUAUCAUAGACAUGAAUACAAAACAGAUGGCGCGUAACGGAAAAAAGUGACGCGUAACCGAAAAAUGUGACGGUAAAUUUUUUUCCAACGCCGAUAAGGAAGUUUCACUUCAAAAAUGUGUGCGUGUACUAGUGUACACACGUAAGAAGUGAAACUUGUUUAUGGCCUUAUUUUUCGAAAAAUGAUCUACAUGCAACUUUCUAGAAAUUGGUUAAAUAAAGUUAAAUUAGAUAAAGUUUAAACAAAAGGAUUUUAUUAUCAUAGACAUGAAUACAAAAAAGUUAAAUUAGAUAAAGUUUAAACAAAAGGAUUUUAUUAUCAUAGACAUGAAUACAAAACAGAUGGCGCGUAACGGAAAAAAGUGACGCGUAACCGAAAAAUGUGACGGUAAAUUUUUUUCCAACGCCGAUAAGGAAGUUUCACUUCAAAAAUGAUGGUGAAAUGAUUUUUCUGAUGAUGACAAUUUAUUAAAACUAGAGGUCCCGCAGUAGUCGAAAUUCGACUAUAAUUAAUUGGAAUUGUAAGUUUGUACACUAUUAUGAUUGUAUUUUAUACUUCUACUAGCUGACCCGGCAAACGUUAUGUUGCCUUAAAUAAUAUUUCUAGGGAAAUUCUAGUGUAGAAAAAUUCAACCACAUAAUACCUCAUUAUAACAAAAAAAAAAACCAAAAAAUGUAAAUAAAAAAAUAAAUUUUGGGGUGGACAACCAUUAUCACUUAGGGGUAUGAAAAAUAGAUAGUACCUAACCGAUUCUCAGAUCUACUGAACAUACUAUUGAUAUACAAAUAAAACCAAAAAAACA
This is a long non-coding RNA of Bombyx mori (domestic silkworm), 2956 nucleotides long. RefSeq lists it as uncharacterized. The transcript is spliced from 2 exons. NCBI's taxonomy places the organism in Eukaryota, Metazoa, Arthropoda, Insecta, Lepidoptera, Bombycidae. The record is from RefSeq and is a predicted model, not a curated record.